GUUAUUUUGGCAGAAUAGUGCUAUAGAUUUAGAAUCUGUAUAUGUGAUAUAAAUUACAAAUAAUA
This 65-nucleotide transfer RNA is filed under the name Neotriplax arisana. Its description in RNAcentral is "tRNA-Leu". It matches the Rfam family "tRNA". Rfam says of the family: Transfer RNA (tRNA) molecules are approximately 80 nucleotides in length. The record is from RNAcentral. Lineage: Eukaryota; Metazoa; Arthropoda; Insecta; Coleoptera; Erotylidae.